GUGCACAUUGAUCAUGGUAGUAUUAUGGAAAGAAAGUUAAGGAUUCAAGUAAAGGUGGCAAGUAUAUCAAGUAGAGGGACGUUCUAGAAUCCAGAGGAACAAAGGUUGAUAUAGAUUGUUAACGAAAAGGAAAAAAAGAAUGAGUAGGAACUAAAAAAUUUGAUAUCAGAAAGAAAAUUUAGAAUUGAAAUUAUGAUAGUU
RNAcentral lists this long non-coding RNA (201 nucleotides) under Elaeis guineensis (African oil palm). RNAcentral's name for it is "long non-coding RNA (EGUI_LNC079622)". Lineage: Eukaryota; Viridiplantae; Streptophyta; Magnoliopsida; Arecales; Arecaceae. The record is from RNAcentral.